This 253-nucleotide ribosomal RNA is filed under the name uncultured bacterium. Its description in RNAcentral is "partial 16S ribosomal RNA". It matches the Rfam family "Bacterial small subunit ribosomal RNA", at positions 524 to 776 of the family's 1533-position model. The record is from RNAcentral.
UACGAAGGGGGCUAGCGUUGUUCGGAGUUACUGGGCGUAAAGGGCGCGUAGGCGGCGCACCAAGUCAGGCGUGAAAGCCCUGGGCUCAACCCGGGAAUUGCGCUUGAGACUGGUGUGCUUGAGUACGGGAGAGGAUAGUGGAAUUCCCAGUGUAGAGGUGAAAUUCGUAGAUAUUGGGAAGAACACCGGUGGCGAAGGCGGCUAUCUGGACCGUAACUGACGCUGAGGCGCGAAAGCGUGGGGAGCAAACAGG